CGUAAGGAGCGCUUAAGGGUAAUACCGGUGACUGGGGCUAAGUCGUAACAAGGUAGCCGUACCGGAAGGUGUGGCUGGAACACCUCCUUUCUGGAGCAUCAAAUUGUUUUGUGGUACAGUAUUUACUAUGUUUGUUUUAUCCCAUUUUGGGGUAUGCACACACUGCUGUUUCUUUUAUUAGGUAUAUACGGGAAUAAACGGUGCUGGAGCGAUCUUGCGAGUUGAAAAGCAUAUGCCGUACUGUUGCAUUACAGUCCUAUAGCUCAGUUGGUUAGAGCGCUACACUGAUAAUGUAGAGGUCGGCAGUUCAACUCUGCCUGGGACUACGAUGAAAUUAAGUUUAAGGGGGAUUAGCUCAGCUGGCUAGAGCACCUGCUUUGCAAGCAGGGGGUCAUCGGUUCGAAUCCUAUAUUCUCCACAAUGGUUAGAUGAAAAGGUCUAAUCGACCGGAUCUUUGACAUAUUUAGUACCCCAAGAAGAUACCACCAAGAGUAGAGCCGUUACUUUGUACUUUUAUGUGCGAAGUAACGAACCGAUAAAAAAAGUAAUCUGCAAAAGCAAAUUAAUUACUCAACAAAGAUAGUUUCGAUUUCGAUUGGAACUUUUUAGGCGAAAAAUAAGUAAGGGC
This 628-nucleotide unclassified non-coding RNA is filed under the name Porphyromonas gingivicanis. RNAcentral describes it as "partial 16S-23S ribosomal RNA intergenic spacer region". The stretch from base 253 to 326 matches the Rfam family "tRNA". The record is from RNAcentral. Lineage: Bacteria; Pseudomonadati; Bacteroidota; Bacteroidia; Bacteroidales; Porphyromonadaceae.